Molecule: non-coding RNA, 3231 nt
Organism: Dermacentor albipictus
Lineage: Eukaryota; Metazoa; Arthropoda; Arachnida; Ixodida; Ixodidae
Source: RefSeq, a predicted model, not a curated record
UGAUGGCCAUGCUCUUCCGCAAAGCAGUUAUGACUGUGUCGGCGAGACACACGUGUUAUAUUCGGUCGCAAAAGCUUCGCCCAAACCGCGUGAGCGGAUGGUGAAGGGCACCCCAGCGCCUUCUACUGGCACGCCGACUGCAGUUGAGCGAAGGGACGGAGCUAGUGAUGCCCUCCGUGCCGACGUGUGUCUAGACCCUGCUCCUGAACACGUCUUCGCCUCGGAGACUGUAAUUCGCGCGACUGCAAGUCGAGAACUCAGGUUUAAAACUACGGAGCCGUUUAUUGAGAAGUGACGGGUGAUUCGAGACCCAGCAAGCAGAUCAAGAUGCGACUGGCGCCCACUCGGCAACCAACCUUGCCCAUCGAAUUCCCGUGUUCUCGCAACCACGCUUCCGUCGCCCAUUUUCCCUGGCAGUGAAGUGAGUCGAUCGUGCUACGACGCCCACGCAGCAGCUGAGUGCUUCAGUCAUCACCGACGCUUCCCUACAAUCUCGAGAAGCCACAGGGUACCACAACACGUCAGCGCAUCGAUGCCAACCAAAAUGAUCAUCACCGCGGUGCAAAUUCAUGGCUAGUUGACAAGCUUCCCCUGCGCUUCGUGUUCGCUCGUCUCUACUCUUGGGCAGUCUCCAACUGCACUAACGCCAGCCCCUGUAAAAGCUUUUAAGGAUUCAUUCGGUGACGCAUUCAGCAUGGAUUCUUCCACUCGAUACUACAAAUCUUGGAAAGACGGGUGAUCCGCUGUGUCUUGAUGCAGCUUUAUAUGGCGUUUUAAAAUCGGAGCUUUUCUUUGCGAACCUCACCGGUUUUGUGACCGUGGAAGUUGCGGCCUAGCUGGCUGUUUCCUUGCCGAAUAGCACCCAACCAACCCAACCAACCAACCUGGUUCCUUGCAACACCACCAGAUGACGCUCGCCUCCAUCCAUCCUCGGCAGUGGCGGCGUCGGCCGUGCGGGGGAACGAAAAAAAAGAACCAGAAAGCUCGCCUUCGCGCACCCGCGGCUGCAUGCGCAGUAACGAGGAAGUAAACGCUUCUUGCGGAUUGAAUGAAUUCGAAUUGUGCUACGUCGCGCCACUGGAGGUUACUGCCACUCGGAGCAAGAGCUGCAGCAACAAGGUUGUUCCUCGUGAAACAAAUUCGCUUCGACCGCGAUCCUGCAUCCUUCACAAAUGAAGAUGACGGUGGCACGCUCUCCCUGUCAUCGCGUCGCUAGUGCGCCGGGAGGCGCUAACCGGAAAAACGCAAGCUGGGACACCCCCAUGGGAAAAUGCGUGCAGCUAUGAAGAAGGCAAAGAGCCGGCAUGAUCGCUUCCUGAGCAGACGUGGCAUCUGAAAUAGUCCGGCACACAGCAUCCGUUCUCAUUAACUCCGGACCCGUCAAGCACCCUUCAUCGUCGCCGCCAACGCAGCGUCCCAGCUCCCGGACGGGCCACCGGCCUGUCACCGCCAGGGCUUCGUAACGUCGUUCGGCGUACUACUUGUCGGCUCCGAACUGGGACGGAGCCGCCAAAGCGGUCCUUCCCGCAGGAACCAACCUCCGGUUCGUGCCAAGACCCAAAUAGAAGCAAACAGAAAAGGAGGAGCCGAGCAAGACAGCGCCAGUGGUGGAGGCGAUGCCGGCUCGGUGGGGAAGGAAGGGCGAGCCAUGGAGACGCAUUUGAAAUGCGAAUUUUCUCCGGGACGCUCCGGCCAACCGAGCGAGACAGACCAACCGAGAGAGGCCCGCCACCACCGCCUAUGUGGGGGAGUGCGGGGAAAGCGGAGGGGGGGCAGAGGGGGGAGGCGUUGUCGUCUCUUCCUCUUCCCCUCACUCUUCCUUGACUGUACAGAGGCUUCCUACUCAUAUUUCUUAAACUCACUACUAUACUGUACGCCCUCGUCUUGUGCUUACGUCUUUCUCGUUCUGCCACUGCUUUUCUUUUUUGCCUGGCCCUUUCUUUAUUAUUAUUUAUAUUCUUUCUUGUAGAUACACUGUCUGGCAUUUCGGAAUGCUUCGCGUUUUGCCCGACAGUUUUCUGAUAUUGUGCACUAUCUCAACACCGAGUCCGUCGUCAUUAUCGUUUCCUUAUUCUUUUACUGCUUGCUUCCUUCGGUUCUGUAUGUUCGUCCUCCUCUCACUUUAUUUUUUUCGUCGCCUACGUUAUUCUUUCGUCUUCUCAGUGUACCUCUCGCUUCGUUGAUUCCUUCCUUCGUUCGCUGCUUUUUCAUUCCUCGCGUAGAACGCGCGUUGGAGUUUACACUUUUCCAUUUUCGGGGCGCGUGCGUUUGAUCUCAGUACUGCGAAGAAAAAAAAACUGAUUGCUUCUGCACCAAGUGGAGGCGAGAUAGAAAAUAAAGGUUGUAAGAGCGGCCGUAUAUGGGCAGAAGACGAGGAGCGGCCGGCGUAAGACGGGAGGACCAAGGCGCGCACCGUCUCUUUUGCGUUUUGUUAUGGUCAUUUUUAAAACCCGGAAGCGACUGGGAAAGUGUGACAGGAUGUACAAGACUCGAAGGGCAAAAUAAAAGAGAAAAGAAAACAGUAAAAAGUUUGGAGGUCGGAGCAGAGAUGAGGCACAAAAUGAGAAGCAUUGAAAAAGCAGUAUGCUCGAUGACAUUGUUUUUUCUUUUCUGCAUUAAUUCAAAGCUUACAGCUGUAAGCUGUCAAGGAAUAACGUGCAACCAACCUUCAAUUUGUAUGGAUUAAGAAACAUAUCACGUGCACAGGGUCCCGUGCACACGAUCGCGGACACGCACAGGGCUGACAAGCUUGCAGAUAAUCAACCCACGUGACGAAAGUUAAGGCGAAUGGACGCCGAUGUUAUGUGAAAGCUAGAAAGUGACUACAAUGUUUUGCACGUCACCCAUCGAGUUAUAGACCAGUGACUAUGGAGUUGCGCUGCAAAGGUCGAGGGCGUGGGUUCGAAGGGGCGAGAUGCAAAAUACGCUCGUGUACCUAGAUUUAGAUGCACGUUAAAGAACUCCGAGUGGUCAAAUAUAAUCUGGAGUCCCCUCGCUAUACGGAGUGCAUCAAUGAUCGUAUUGCGUGUCUUGCACGUAGAACCCCUCCAAUUCGAUUUGGUUUUUUGACGUCACGGCAGUAUUCGGCCGACGACCCUUUAUAGAUAUCCUUUCGAAAGCUGUCCAGUGCCAAUAAAUGUACCCAUUUGUGCUCUGAGUCACCAACCUUGUGCAGCGUUGCCGGUGCUUCGGCUCCUAUUGGCGGCAAGAACAAAAUAAAAUACAGUGUGA